CUACGGAGGGUGCAAGCGUUACUCGGAAUCACUGGGCGUAAAGCGCGCGCAGGCGGCUAUUUAAGUUGGAUGUGGAAGCCUACGGCUCAACCGUAGAACUGCAUCCAAAACUAUUUAGCUAGAGUGUGGGAGAGGAAGAUGGAAUUAGUUGUGUAGGGGUAAAAUCCGUAGAGAUAACUAGGAAUACCAAAAGCGAAGGCAAUCUUCUGGAACACUACUGACGCUGAGGCGCGAAAGCGUGGGGAGCAAACAGGAUUAGAAACCCUAGUAGUCC
This 274-nucleotide ribosomal RNA is filed under the name uncultured bacterium. RNAcentral describes it as "partial 16S ribosomal RNA". It matches the Rfam family "Bacterial small subunit ribosomal RNA", at positions 523 to 796 of the family's 1533-position model. The record is from RNAcentral.